Molecule: non-coding RNA, 308 nt
Filed under: Opitutaceae bacterium
Lineage: Bacteria; Pseudomonadati; Verrucomicrobiota; Opitutia; Opitutales; Opitutaceae
Source: RNAcentral
GUCGCUCAUUCGCCCCCUGUUUUUUGAUAAAUGACAAAAUGUGCAGCGGACGGGGAAUGCCGUGAGAAUCGGCGACAGUCGCGCUGCGGUAUCGAGUCACUCGUCCCAAUUUCCAGACACCACCAUUCCGCGCCGCCAGCGCGCCGCAUGGCAGUUUCGGGAAGCAAAGCACAGCCGGAAAAGGCCGCGCACAGUCGCGCGCGCCAGUUCGGUCAAGACGAAGGGAUGGGGUCCGCGCCAGGUUCCUCAAGCAGGCGCCGCGCGGAAAAACUCGGAGUCCGAACACCCGGCUGCACACGCCAGAGAAA